Ziziphus jujuba (common jujube) is the source of this 2031-nucleotide long non-coding RNA. RefSeq lists it as uncharacterized. The transcript is spliced from 4 exons. Lineage: Eukaryota; Viridiplantae; Streptophyta; Magnoliopsida; Rosales; Rhamnaceae. The record is from RefSeq and is a predicted model, not a curated record.
AUAUGAUGGUUUUUUCAUUCGUCUGGGAAAAAAAAAAAAAAAAAGAAAAAAGAAAAAUGAAAAAGAUUAUUAUUUUAUUCUCGAGGUGGAAGUGAAAGUAUCUUAUUCUUUCCCUUUUUAAACCCAAAAAAAAAAAAAAAAAAAAAUAAAAUUCCCAGAUCUUAUAGAUCUUGCCCGUUCAAUUUCCCAACGGCUAGUUUGAUAACUAACGGUCAAAUUUCAACUCUUAUAUAAUAGGCCACUGUAGCUCCUUCUCCAAAUUUUUUCUUUUUUGGCUGUGGAGAUUUCCUUCCUCUUGAUUUUCCGUCAUUUUUUAACUAAUUUUCUCUCUUGUUUUGUUAUUUUUCCUUCCUUUGGUUUUGGUUAUAUGACUGAAAAUGUAAAACCAAGAAUGGGGCUUUCUGAGAGGAAGGGAGGAGAUGGAGUUUUGGGUCUAAAGGUAAACUGUUUGAAGAAACGCCGUAUGCAAACAGUUUCCUAAGAAGAAACGCUAUGGAAUCAUUGUUUAUGGAAUUUCCACUCCCAGAUGGCAAGGAAAGGCUGAAACUGAGCCAAGAACAGGGUCUCAAACUGCGGCAUAUCAAGUUCUGGUUCCAAAACAGGCAAACCCAGAUGGAGAAAUUCUCUCCUCUUUCCUUUUUCAUUCUUUCACGGAUGUGGAGGAAUUUUCCAUCUCACAGAGGAGGCUGGGGUGUUAGAAACAAGUCAUGAAUUUCUCUUCUGAUGCGAACGAUAAAGUAAGACUAAACGUGAUGGCUCUGAGUUUGGCCGAUGCUUGUAUCUGUACAAGGGGAGGAAUUACAGCUCUUCCAGCCAAUUUUGAUGGCUCAAGAACUCAUGUGGAAGUCCAGAAGCAAAUAAGAUGUCUUUUUUGGUCAAUGGCUUUCUUGUUUCUUGUACUCAGAAUCAACAAUAAUUGUAAUAUAAGAAAAGAUAAGAUUUUUUGGGUUUGAGAGGAAGAGAUAGACCGCUGGGAUUUCCAGGUCUCUUCUCUCUCUGCUGUGGGUGUGGUGUGGUGUGUGUCCCCUCUCUCUGCUUUCACCUGCUUUCUCCUCCCCCUUCUAUUUCUCUAUUUUUCUGUCUCUGCUUUCUUUUUUUUCUCUCUGUUACUUUUUUUUCUCUCUGCUUUCUAUUUCUCUAUAAAUAUUUUAAAAUAAAAGCCACUAAGGUAUUUUUUAAAAUUAAAAAAAUAAUGCUAAAUUAAAAACCAGAAUCUAUCAUUAUUAUAUUUAUAUUUUUAUGUUUUUGUAAAAGGUAGUAUAUUUUCAAGUAAUUACAUUAUUUUGUUGUAAAAAAAAAAAAAGUAAUUACAUUAUUUUUUUUCUUAAGACAAAUACAUAAAUUUAAAAUAUUAAAGAAAACAAAAUUUACAUUAAAAUAAUGAACUUUUAGAAUUUAAUUUAUUCGAUAAAAAAAAUUGGAAGCCUUUUAGACAAGUAAAUUAGGACUUUUAAACUUUUAAACUUGCAAGCUUUUCCUGAUCUACUUCAUUAAGGACAUAAAAAGGACAUGAAUUUAGAAUUUCACAAAAUUUUAUAUUGAUAGUUUGCUGAAUGAACUAUUUUACCCUAUGAUAGUAAUGUCAAAGGGUGGCAAAUAAAAUUUUGCAAUUGAAGAAAUUAAAGAGAGAAAUUAGCAAGAGAUGUUGUAGAGAAAGUGCAGAGAGAGAGAGAAGAAAGUGGGAAGAGGAGAAAUUUAAGCAAAGGGAGAAGAGAAAGAGAAUAAAGGAGUUAAGGAGAGAGAGUAGGGAGUGAAUGUAGAGAAGGUGGGGAGAGAGAAGUAGGAAUAAAGUAGAGAUGAAAUAAGGGAGGUGAUUGGUAGUAGUGAGAAGGUGAAGAGGAAGCGAGGGAGAGAACAGAGAAUGUUAGAAGGAGGAGAGGACGGGUAGGGAAUAGUGGAGAGAAAAAUUGGGGAACUUGGAGAUAGAACAGAUAUAGGAAGGAAGUUUUUCAUUUUUUUUUUUGGGGAACAAAGGUUCAAUGUAAUAUCUUUAAUAUAUGUUUGACAACAAAUAGUUUUAUUUCCAUCUCA